GGUGACCUAGUUAUGAGGAUGUNAAGCUCNUACAGGCCGUAUGGUGAGCAUACCUAUAACUGUUGCUGUCGGCGGGUAGGGUCUCCGCGACCCUCCCGGCCUCCCGCCUCCGGGCGGGUCGGCGCCCGCCGGAGGAUAACCAAACUCUGAUAUUAACGACGUUUCUUCUGAGUGGUACAAGCAAAUAAUCAAAACUUUUAACAACGGAUCUCUUGGUUCUGGCAUCGAUGAAGAACGCAGCGAAAUGCGAUAAGUAAUGUGAAUUGCAGAAUUCAGUGAAUCAUCGAAUCUUUGAACGCACAUUGCGCCCGCCAGCAUUCUGGCAGGGCAUGCCUGUUCAGAGCGUCAUUUCAACCCUCAAGCUCUGNUUGAGUGUUGGGGCCCUACAGCUGAUGUAGGCCCUCAAAGGUAGUGGCAGGACCCUCCCGGAGCCUCCUUUGCAGUANGUAACUUUACGUCUCAGCACUGGGAUCCGGAGGGACUCUUGCCGUAAAACCCCCAAUUUUCCAAAGGUUGACCUCGGAUCAGGUAGGAAUACCCGUGAACUUAAGC
Molecule: ribosomal RNA, 552 nt
Filed under: Colletotrichum siamense
Lineage: Eukaryota; Fungi; Ascomycota; Sordariomycetes; Glomerellales; Glomerellaceae
Description: eukaryotic LSU rRNA
Rfam family: 5.8S ribosomal RNA (bases 193-348)
Source: RNAcentral